AAGGAAGAAGGACACAUACACCACAAAAAAAGGGAAAAGAAGGAAGAAGGACACUACUACUGCAUUAGUUAUUUGUCCUUUUUUUUGUUUUCAACUAUACUUUCACCCUCUAUUCUACUAAUAUUUUUUUUUUUUGUAU
This 139-nucleotide non-coding RNA is filed under the name Heterosigma akashiwo. Lineage: Eukaryota; Raphidophyceae; Chattonellales; Chattonellaceae. The record is from RNAcentral.